CUGCUUCAAAUCUCCUAAGAGGCAGGGGAAGUCCGGAGCCUACUGUCUGCUUGCAUUGGAGAGAGGAAGCAUGUUUAUAGGUCAGUCCACGUUGUCUGUUACAUGCAUAUCUCACCUAAUCUUCG
Molecule: long non-coding RNA, 125 nt
Filed under: Mustela putorius furo (domestic ferret)
Lineage: Eukaryota; Metazoa; Chordata; Mammalia; Carnivora; Mustelidae
Description: lncRNA (ENSMPUG00000028474.1)
Source: RNAcentral